GGAGAAAUGGCAGAGUGGUCGAAUGCGGCGGUCUUGAAAACCGUUGACCGUUUACGCGGUCCGGGGGUUCGAAUCCCUCUUUCUCCGCCA
This 90-nucleotide transfer RNA is filed under the name Bacteroidota bacterium. RNAcentral describes it as "Bacteroidetes bacterium (marine metagenome) tRNA-Ser". It matches the Rfam family "tRNA". Rfam says of the family: Transfer RNA (tRNA) molecules are approximately 80 nucleotides in length. Their secondary structure includes four short double-helical elements and three loops (D, anti-codon, and T loops). Further hydrogen bonds mediate the characteristic L-shaped molecular structure. tRNAs have two regions of fundamental functional importance: the anti-codon, which is responsible for specific mRNA codon recognition, and the 3' end, to which the tRNAs corresponding amino acid is attached (by aminoacyl-tRNA synthetases). tRNAs cope with the degeneracy of the genetic code in two manners: having more than one tRNA (with a specific anti-codon) for a particular amino acid; and 'wobble' base-pairing, i.e. permitting non-standard base-pairing at the 3rd anti-codon position. The record is from RNAcentral. RNAcentral also lists the same sequence under 2 other names. Lineage: Bacteria; Pseudomonadati; Bacteroidota.